RNAcentral lists this ribosomal RNA (1459 nucleotides) under uncultured organism. RNAcentral describes it as "bacterial SSU rRNA". It matches the Rfam family "Bacterial small subunit ribosomal RNA". The record is from RNAcentral.
GGCUCAGAACGAACGCUGGCGGCGUGCCUAACACAUGCAAGUCGAACGAGAAAGCUCCUUCGGGAGUGAGUAGAGUGGCGCACGGGUGAGUAACACGCAGGUGAUCUACCCUUAAGAGUGGGAUAACCCCGAGAAAUCGGAGCUAAUACCACGUACGAUCGGCAACUUUGGAAGGAGUCGAUGAAAGUAUGCCUCUGUUUCAUGCAUACGCUUGAGGAUGGGCCUGCGGGACAUUAGCUUGAUGGUGGGGUAAUGGCCUACCAUGGCGACGAUGUCUAGCGGAUCUGAGAGGAUGAUCCGCCACACUGGAACUGAGACACGGUCCAGACUCCUACGGGAGGCAGCAGUGGGGAAUAUUGCGCAAUGGGCGAAAGCCUGACGCAGCAACGCCGUGUGAGUGAGGAAGGCCUUCGGGUUGUAAAGCUCUGUCAAGGUGGAAGAAUGGCCAAGGUCCAAUAGGCCUUUGGUUUGAUGGUACACCUAAAGGAAGCACCGGCUAACUUCGUGCCAGCAGCCGCGGUAAUACGAAGGGUGCAAGCGUUGUUCGGAUUUAUUGGGCGUAAAGCGCGCGCAGGCGGAUUUGCAAGUCAGGUGUGAAAUCUCGGGGCUCAACCCCGAAACUGCGCCUGAAACUGCGGAUCUAGAAUAUUGGAGAGGGAAGAGGAAUUUCGCAUGUAGGGGUAAAAUCCGUAGAGAUGCGAAGGAACACCAGAGGUGAAAACGUCUUCCUGGACAAUCAUUGACGCUGAGGCGCGAAAGCGUGGGGAGCGAACAGGAUUAGAUACCCUGGUAGUCCACGCCGUAAACGAUGUGCACUAGAUAUUGCGAGGAUUGGCCCUUGCAGUGUUGUAGCUAACGCAUUAAGUGCACCGCCUGGGGAGUACGGUCGCAAGACUAAAACUCAAAGGAAUUGACGGGGGCCCGCACAAGCGGUGGAUCAUGUGGUUUAAUUCGAAGCAACGCGCAGGACCUUACCUAGGCUUGACAUCCCGAGAACCUGCCUUAAACGGCGGGGUGCCCGUAAGGGAAUUCGGAGACAGGCGCUGCAUGGCUGUCGUCAGCUCGUGUCGUGAGAUGUUGGGUUAAGUCUCGCAACGAGCGCAACCCCUGUUCUUAGUUGCCAGCAUUAAGUUGGGCACUCUAAGGAGACUGCCUGGGUUAACCAGGAGGAAGGUGGGGAUGACGUCAAGUCCUCAUGGCCCUUAUGCCUAGGGCUACACACGUGAUACAAUGGUCGGUAUAAAGGGAUGCGAACUCGCAAGGGGAAGCUAAUCUCAAAAAACCGAUCUCAGUCCGGAUUGGAAUCUGCAACUCGACUCCAUGAAGCUGGAAUCGCUAGUAAUCGCAGAUCAGAACGCUGCGGUGAUACGUUCCCGGGCCUUGUACACACCGCCCGUCACACCAUGGGAGCUGGUUUUACACUGAAGUCGUGGCCCUAACCUUUUGGGGGGGAGCGCCU